Molecule: ribosomal RNA, 491 nt
Filed under: uncultured bacterium
Lineage: Bacteria
Description: bacterial SSU rRNA
Rfam family: Bacterial small subunit ribosomal RNA
Source: RNAcentral
GGGGAGUACGGUCGCAAGAUUAAAACUCAAAGGAAUUGACGGGAAGCCGCACAAGCGGUGGAUGAUGUGGAUUAAUUCGAUACAACGCGAAAAGCCUUGCCUAGCCGUGACAUGUGCGGAAGUUUGCUGAGAGGUGGAUGUGCCUGAAAGGGAACCGUAACACAGGUGGUGCAUGGCUGUCGUCAGCUCGUAUCGUGAGAUGGUGGGUUAAGUCCCGCAACGAGCGCAACCCUUGCUAUUAAUUGCCAUCAUUAAGUUGGGCACAUUAAUAAGACUGCUGGUGAUAAACCGGAGGAAAGGGGGGAUGACGUCAAGUCCUCAUGGCCCUGAUGGGUAGGGCCUCACACGUCAUACAAUGGCCGGUACAGAGGGAUGCCAACCCGCGAAGGGGAGCCAAUCUCAAAAAGCCGGUUGUAGUCCGGAUUGUUCUCUGCAACUCGAGAGCAUGAAGUCGGUAUAGGUAGUAAUCGCGGAUCAGCAUGUCGCGGUGA